Musa acuminata subsp. malaccensis (wild Malaysian banana) is the source of this 110-nucleotide non-coding RNA. Lineage: Eukaryota; Viridiplantae; Streptophyta; Magnoliopsida; Zingiberales; Musaceae. The record is from Rfam.
UAGUUACUAUGAUGUUGGCCCGGCUCACUCAGAGUGCACCAUUUUUGGGCAAUGCAAAGCCCUAAGACCUUGUUAUCUGAUUGAGCCGUGCCAAUAUCUUAGUACUCUUU